This 253-nucleotide ribosomal RNA is filed under the name uncultured bacterium. RNAcentral's name for it is "partial 16S ribosomal RNA". It matches the Rfam family "Bacterial small subunit ribosomal RNA", at positions 524 to 776 of the family's 1533-position model. The record is from RNAcentral.
UACGUAGGGGGCAAGCGUUGUCCGGAAUCAUUGGGCGUAAAGCGCGCGUAGGCGGCUCAGUAAGUCCGCUCUGAAAGCUUGGGGCUUAACCCCAAGAGGCGGGCGGAUACUGCUGGGCUCGAGUCCGGAAGAGGCGAGUGGAAUUCCUGGUGUAGCGGUGAAAUGCGCAGAUAUCAGGAAGAACACCAAUGGCGAAAGCAGCUCUCUGGGACGGUACUGACGCUGAGACGCGAAAGCGUGGGGAGCGAACAGG